Molecule: long non-coding RNA, 1027 nt
Organism: Gallus gallus (chicken)
Lineage: Eukaryota; Metazoa; Chordata; Aves; Galliformes; Phasianidae
Source: Ensembl
CCACAGCAGGCAUGGCAAUACCAGCAGCAACGCCUUGAGUUCAUUUUGUGAGAUGUCAGAUGAUCUGUGAUAAAGUGACAGGAUGUGCAGGAGCAGCGAGGAGACGAGGUCCAUUUUAAUGAGGCUAACUCUACUGGGUAGUGCAGACCGUGCCUCGACAAGCCCUUGGAUCUUGUUUCCUUUUGCAAAGCGUCUUAAUGGCAUAAAAGGAUUUUUGCACAAAUAAGGAAAGGCAAUUCCCCAAACAGAUUUCUUUCAGUGGCCAUUGAAAUGGAAAGCUGCCACCGAGAAUUGCAUGAUCCUCUCUAAGAGGUAAGCACAAUCAGAAAUCAGUAUUCCCUUGGCUCCCAAAAAUGUACUGAAAUACUUUGGAAUUAGCAGCGUGUUUGCUGGAGGCUCACCGUUCACCCAGCAGGUCCUGCCCGCUGGCACUGAGAUGUAAUGACACAUAAGAUGGUCUGACCCAGCACUGCUUACGAAUGACCCAUUCCUGCAGGCAGCUUGGAUGAGAAGCAGGAAGAGUGGGGACUUAUAGCAAGGUGCAAGGGAAAUAUGAGAAGGCCUCACGCUGUUCUCCAGCCCUUUGUUAUUUUGUCAGCUGAUCUUCCAGGCUGUUAUUAGAAUUUCAGGCAGGCUGGGAUCAUGCUUCACAUUGGCUACCAGCAUCAGGUAAAUGCAUAAGGACAACUAGUCCUGGUCGAAGUUGCAAAAAAGGGUUUCUAUCAAUGGUAUAUUUUUAACCUAGCUUAAUAUGUUCUGAAACAUCUACAGAGAAUCACUUUUAUGGGAUCUGUUUUUUAAAUCUUGCUUUCCAGGGAAGUACUUUUUUUUAUCUAUUAUUCCUUCCUAAGCUAUUCUUGGAUCCCAGUGCAUGAAUUCUAAGAUUUUCUGGGCAAUGUUGUGAAAAGGUGAGUAGAUGAAUAGAAGAUGUAAGUAAAAUACUCCAGACUGCCUAAGAGUGAGGCCAUCCAGUCUGCCUGCUCUCUACUGAAAUGCACAUUUAGGAAUGGUUUGUUCAAGUCUGCAG